This 356-nucleotide ribosomal RNA is filed under the name uncultured Desulfobulbus sp. RNAcentral's name for it is "bacterial SSU rRNA". It matches the Rfam family "Bacterial small subunit ribosomal RNA", at positions 1036 to 1382 of the family's 1533-position model. The record is from RNAcentral. Lineage: Bacteria; Pseudomonadati; Thermodesulfobacteriota; Desulfobulbia; Desulfobulbales; Desulfobulbaceae.
AGGUGCUGCGAUGGCUGUCGUCAGCUCGUGUCGUGAGUAGUAGUUCGGGUUAAGUACCCGUAACGAGCGACCUAACCUCGUUCCUUAGUUACCAGCACGUUAGUGUGGGCACUCUAAAGGGACUGCCGGUGUUAAACCGGAGGAAGGUGGGGAUGACGUCAAGUCCUCAUGGCCUUUAUGACCAGGGCUACACACGUACUACAAUGGCCGAUACAAAGGGCAGCGACACUGCGAGGUGAAGCCAAUCCCGUAAAAUCGGUCUCAGUCCGGAUUGGAGUCUGCAACUCGACUCCAUGAAGUUGGAAUCGCUAGUAAUCGUGGAUCAGCAUGCCACGGUGAAUACGUUCCCGGGCCUU